AAAAAGUGGGAGUUGUAAGUGUGACGUUGUACUCUAUAUGAUUUUAAGAAAGUAUGCUGAUGAGUGUGAAUAUAAUGUAACUAAAAUAUGCUUCAUGCAAAAGGUCUCUUGCAAGGUAUCAUUACAAAGCUUAUAAUCUACUGAGCAUGGUCAUCAUAUUUGUAUAAAUGGAUCACUCUUGUAUCUGAAACUAGAAAUAUGAAAUAUAA
Molecule: long non-coding RNA, 209 nt
Organism: Dermochelys coriacea (leatherback sea turtle)
Lineage: Eukaryota; Metazoa; Chordata; Testudines; Dermochelyidae
Exons: 3
Source: RefSeq, a predicted model, not a curated record